AAUGAACGUUGGCGGCGUGGAUUAGGCAUGCAAGUUGAGCGAGAAGUUUUAAAAAGAUACUUCGGUUGAUUUUUAAAAUGGACAGCGGCGAAAGGGAGAGUAACGAGUAGAUACGUACCCAAGGGUCCGGGAUAGCCAUGCGAAAGCGUGAGUAAUACCGGAUAAUGUCUCCGGACCAAAGAUUUAUUGCCCUUGGAGCGGUUUGCUUACUAUUAGGUAGUUGGUGGGGUAAAGGCCUACCAAGUCUACGAUCUAUAGCUGGUUUGAGAGGAUGAUCAGCAACACUGGGACUGAGACACGGCCCAGACUCCUACGGGAGGCAGCAGUAAGGAAUAUUGGACAAUGGGGGCAACCCUGAUCCAGCCAUCCCGCGUGAAGGAAGACUGCCCUAUGGGUUGUAAACUUCUUUUAUAUGGGAAGAAACGAGAUUACGUGUAAUCUUUUGACGGUACCAUACGAAUAAGGACCGGCUAACUCCG
Molecule: ribosomal RNA, 479 nt
Filed under: uncultured Pseudomonadota bacterium
Lineage: Bacteria; Pseudomonadati; Pseudomonadota
Description: bacterial SSU rRNA
Rfam family: Bacterial small subunit ribosomal RNA
Source: RNAcentral